GAUGAACGCUGGCGGCGUGCCUAAUACAUGCAAGUCGAGCGAACAGACGAGGAGCUUGCUCCUCUGACGUUAGCGGCGGACGGGUGAGUAACACGUGGAUAACCUACCUAUAAGACUGGGAUAACUUCGGGAAACCGGAGCUAAUACCGGAUAACAUGUUGAACCGCAUGGUUCAACAGUGAAAGACGGUUUGGCUGUCACUUAUAGAUGGAUCCGCGCCGCAUUAGCUAGUUGGUAAGGUAACGGCUUACCAAGGCAACGAUGCGUAGCCGACCUGAGAGGGUGAUCGGCCACACUGGAACUGAGACACGGUCCAGACUCCUACGGGAGGCAGCAGUAGGGAAUCUUCCGCAAUGGGCGAAAGCCUGACGGAGCAACGCCGCGUGAGUGAAGAAGGUCUUCGGAUCGUAAAACUCUGUUAUUAGGGAAGAACAAAUGUGUAAGUAACUAUGCACGUCUUGACGGUACCUAAUCAGAAAGCCACGGCUAACUACGUG
This 497-nucleotide ribosomal RNA is filed under the name uncultured bacterium. RNAcentral's name for it is "partial 16S ribosomal RNA". It matches the Rfam family "Bacterial small subunit ribosomal RNA", at positions 28 to 507 of the family's 1533-position model. The record is from RNAcentral.